GGUGGCGAGUGKKWACGGGUGAGUAAACAUCGAARCGUGCCCAUCGUGGGGGAUAACGUAGCGAAAGCAACGCUGAUACCGCAUACGAUCUACGGAUGAAAGCGGGGGAUCGCAAGACCUCGCGCGAAUGGAGCGGCCGAUGUUUGAUUARGUAGUUGGUGGGGUAAAGGCUCACCAAGCCGACGAUCUGUAGCUGGUCUGAGAGGACGACCAGCCACACUGGGACUGAGACACGGCCCAGACUCCUACGGGAGGCAGCAGUGGGGAAUUUUGGACAAUGGGCGCAAGCCUGAUCCAGCCWUUCCGCGUGCAGGAUGAAGGCCUUCGGGUUGUAAACUGCUUUUGUACGGAACGAAACAGUUCUCUCUAAUACAGGGGGCUUAUGACGGUACCGUAAGAAUAAGCACCGGUUAACUACGUGCCAGCMSCCGCGGUAAUMCUUAGGGUGCAAGCGUUAAUCGGAAUUACUGGGCGUAAAGCGUGCGCAGGCGGUUUUGUAGACMKAGGUGAAAUCCCCCGGGUUCAACCUGGGAACUGCCUUUGUGACUGAAGGCUGGAGUACGGCYAGGGGGAUGGRAUUUCCGCGUGUACAKUGAAAUGCSUAUAUUGCGGAGGAACWCC
Molecule: ribosomal RNA, 621 nt
Filed under: uncultured bacterium
Lineage: Bacteria
Description: partial 16S ribosomal RNA
Source: RNAcentral